CUACGGGUCGCUGCAGCGAGGAAUAUUGCACAAUGGGGGGAACCCUGAUGCAGCAACGCCGCGUGGAGGAUGACGCAUUUCGGUGUGUAAACUCCUUUUAUAUGUCAAGAAAAUGACGGUAGCAUAUGAAUAAGCACCGGCUAACUCCGUGCCAGUAGCCGCGGUAAUACGGAGGGUGCAAGCGUUACUCGGAAUCGCUGGGCGUAAAGGACGCGUAGGCGGGUUGGAAAGUCAGGUGUGAAAUCCUACAGCUUAACUGUAGAACUGCACUUGAAACUUCUAAUCUAGAGUAUGGGAGGGGGAGAUGGAAUUAGUGGUGUAGGGGUAAAAUCCGUAGAUAUCACUAGGAAUACCUAAAGCGAAGGCGAUCUCCUGGAACAUUACUGACGCUAAGGCGUGAAAGCGUGGGGAGCAAACAGGAUUAGAUACCCUCGUAGUC
Molecule: ribosomal RNA, 439 nt
Filed under: uncultured bacterium
Lineage: Bacteria
Description: partial 16S ribosomal RNA
Rfam family: Bacterial small subunit ribosomal RNA
Source: RNAcentral